Molecule: long non-coding RNA, 266 nt
Filed under: Ananas comosus (pineapple)
Lineage: Eukaryota; Viridiplantae; Streptophyta; Magnoliopsida; Poales; Bromeliaceae
Description: long non-coding RNA (ACOM_LNC020247)
Source: RNAcentral
UGUAAUACUUAUGAAAGUAAACAGAAAAUUUUACUCUCACAUUAUUUCUAGCGAUAGAAAAUUUGAAUCGAUGAUCCACAUUAUUACAAAUUUCACAAUUUUACAACAAUAAUUUGUCUAAUAUUUGAAUGGUCUCAAAACUAACAAUUUUUAGUAGCUAGAUAAACAAUAUUCUAAGAUUGUAAAAUUCAAAACUUAAGAAGUUUAAAUAAUCUAGAUCAAACUUAAUAGUGUAGAUCGUCGAUUCCAAUUUUUUAUUGCCGAAA